This 340-nucleotide long non-coding RNA is filed under the name Struthio camelus australis. RNAcentral describes it as "lncRNA (ENSSCUG00000008158.1)". The record is from RNAcentral. Lineage: Eukaryota; Metazoa; Chordata; Aves; Struthioniformes; Struthionidae.
GUCCCCGGCUCCAGUUCAGAUCCUUCCUGGUGACCUAGCCUUGGGCGCACAUCAGCUCAGGUAUCAAUCUGUGCCUCUGUUGCCACCUGAGAACAAGCAGCGGGUAACCUCGCCCGAGGACUCCUCAAAGAAGGUACCAGGCACAGAGUCGAACUGGCGAAACCGACUCCAGUGACUGGUGCAGGGAAGUGCUCGCUGGUUGAACCUUGCUUCUGGCUCUGCUGAGGUAGAUGGGUUUACGUUUCACGUAGCUGGCUCGCACCGUGAUACCCUGCCCAGCCCUCCUGCCCUCUGAGUAUUGUUUAUGGGUUUGUAGUUUUAUUAAUAAAUAACAUUGGUA